AGGAUUUUAUAUAAAAUCGUGACCAGCACAGCUGUGGAUUAGUUUUCUAGGGUUUGUAUUUAGUCCUUUCGGGCAUGGCUUGACCGACCCAUUUUCUCAUCACUCUCCUUCUUCUUCUAGCUCUAUCGCCGACGGCGAUUCUCUCUGUCAAUCGUCUAGAUCAGGUAACGAUUAUCAUUGAUCCUCUUCCUUCGAGCGUAAUACUUGAUUUGUUGUAUGCAUGAGCUGGUCUCGUAGCAGCAACACUUCCCCUUUUUUCUUUUCUCUUGUUUGGCCAUCGGAUUCAUCGUGACCUCCAAUCUGGGGAUUUUUUUCCGAUUCAUUUUUAUGCAGUCCAUUCCGAUUGGUGUUUGCUUUGGGUGAUGAGCGAAUUGUUCAUUUGGGUUCUCGUUUCAUCGUUUGUAAUUGUGAUUUGUGACUCUUACGUUAUAUGAAUUGGUGAAAUCGGGUUUCUUAGCUGAGUUUUGUUAUCGUAUAUGGACGGUAGUUGUAGUUCUCAGCUAGUUGAAUUGCUUCUUCUGUUAUUUGUUAGGGAUGGAUCAUUGAUCUGAUGUUCCUGGCUUGUUUCUAUGAAUUUCAAAGUUUUUUGUUGAAGCUGAUUGCCAGAUGGAUGUUUUAGUACAGGGAUUACCCAACACUGCUUUGAGAAAAAGGGUUUCUGGGAAAUUGUAGUUUUGUACUAAUGAACUAUUGAUUUUGUUUGUGUUGUUAGCUUGACCGAGUUUAAUGGACGACCCUGUGUUGAUGUUGGUCCUCUCGUAGGUGAUAUUUUGGUUGUGGAGGCUAACUUCUCUGAGCUAAUGCAUGCAAAGUUCCAUGAUAGAUUUCAUGUGGUGGUUCUCUGUUCAAACUUGAUCUGCUUCCUUCAGUUGUCUUUCAGUUAUGCAUCUGUGCUUGUACAUGUCGUUCAAUUUUGGCAUAGCCAUGAAGGCAGUUUUAAACUUUUCUUAUCAAUUUUUUUGUUUCAUUACAUAGUGAAUACUUUAGAAGUUAGUUUGUCAAUUAAUUACUGGUGUUAAAGAGCUUAUAUUUGUUGCAGUCGGGUUAUUACCCUGUGAGCCAUUGGGCAUGAUUCAAUGGCAACAACAUUGAAAUUGAAAGUAAAGCCAACUGCAGGGUUGAAGUUGUGGCAGCUGAAUCUUCAUACUAUGUUCUGAGAGUUAAAAUAUUGCUCGAGUUAAGAGUAUGUCGUUGGAGGAUUUGUAAUUUAGGCAUAGUUUCACGUUAGUUUGUAUGUGAGUGUACAUUCACAGUGCAUUCUUUUGUGUUCUAUUGACUGGGUAAUGACUAAUUAUCAACCUUGUAAAGGUGAAUCUUUUGUGAAUGGACUUCAUGCGGUGUGCGAUUUCGAGGUAGUACACUGCAAGGAUGUAAACAUUCAACAACCAUUUUUUAGAAUAUUAUAAUUUUUUGUUAAUUCAGCUUCAUCAAAGUUAGCUAUUUAUUGUUCCGGUUGAACAUAAAUGAUCGACAAACGAAAAUUCUUUAAGCCGAGAGCUAAGAACAGACUUCUUGAGAGAAUCAUCUUUGCUUUUAAACUGAUGAUGGACGUUGUUUGUACAUAUCUGAGAACUGUAUUUUUCUGAGUUAAUAUUCAUUGGGGAUAACUUUAGUAGCACAGACCAUACAAGAAAAUAUUGAGAUGAAAUAUGUUAAAUCACGUGUAAUCACUAAUCAGAGGUAAUUGGCGACUAGCAAGAACCUCUGCAAGGUCCAAGGGCCAAUAAGUUUCUACUAAUAAAGAACUACCACUGGUUGCAUGAUCAUGCUCGUUGUCUUUUGCUUGUUUUCUUGACGUUGUUUGUAACUUGUUAUACAUCUGUUUUAUUAGUCGAGGCACUGAUUUUAAGUUCUACAUUGCAGGUAUCCAAUAGAACAUUCUGAUUCCAGUUUGGCCUGCCAAUUAAUCACCUUGGUUCCCAGUGUUAUCAAUCCGGAGAAACAAAAUGAGUCAACUGGAACACGUUUCAGAGAAAUUGGACUCUUCUUCCCAAAUGGGGUUUGGUUUGGAUAUGGGAUUACAUGAUCCAGCAAUGCAACUGGUAUCUUCCCCCAGUACACAUAUGGGGGUGAUGGGUUCAGUUUCCAGCAACGCACUAUCACAGCCGGCAUCAAUGCAAAUAAUGGAGCCUGUUAUUUCUCCUCGUGUUCUGCAGCAAUCAUCAAUGUCUAACAUCCAGAAGAGAAAUAUCGAUCCAUUUUCCUAUAAUAUGACAUCGGAGAACUUUUUGAUGCCUAAUAAUCAAUUCAGUGGCGUUGGGUCCUCGUUGCAGGAUCAACAGGCUGCAACAAACAAGAGAAAGGCACCAAUGGAAGGUGCAUCUCUGUACCCGGUGCCUCAGAGAUAUACAGCUCCAAAGCGGUUUUCUCUCAAUGAACAUAGGCCAUGGCUUCAGCCAACGGCAGUAACAAGUAAAUUACCUGUCCAGGUGCAGUCUGUAUUGCUUCGGCCACAAGGACCUCCUAAGAAACCGGCUCCUGUGAAAACCGGUACACAAUAUAUGCCUUUGAAAAAAAGUCAAACUGUUCAAAUGCAGCCGUCCCAGAAAGUGAAGAACGAGUCGUUUGAUUCUGUUAGGUCCAAGAUGAGAGAGUCAUUAGCUGGUGCUUUAGCUCUUGUACAAGAUAAGAGCCCAGAUGGUCCGAAAGACUCCAAGAGUACUGCUACAGGUGCUUCGGAGGAACCUUCUAGUGCUAAUGAUAACAGUGGUUCAGAACUGAUGGAUUCAUUGCCUGGAGCUGAUUCGGCUGGAAAUGCAGUCUUAACACACAAUCCGACGAACGAUGUACAAGGAGAGCAACCUGUGGAGACUGUUAGUAUUGAUGAUAUUCCUUUUAGUGAGAACUUUUAUGUGAAAGAUGAACUUCUUCAGGGUAAUGGUCUGUCAUGGAUUAUAGACUCUGAGAUAGAAUUAAUAGAUGAAAGUGGCAUCCGCAAGAAGCAGUUGGACCAAGAUGAUGUCCCUGCUGUAGAGAAGAAGCAACUUCUGAACCCUGAAAUUUUGGCAACGAAAAUUGAAGCUGAACUAUUCAAGUUAUUUCGAGGGGUGAACAAGAAAUACAAAGAAAAAGGAAGGUCUCUUCUGUUCAAUUUAAAGGAUCGUAAUAACCCGGAGUUGAGAGAAAAAGUCAUGCAGGGAGACAUAUGUCCCGAGAGGCUGUGUUCCAUGACUGCGGAGGAGCUUGCUUCGAAGGAGCUCUCAGAAUGGCGAGUGGCAAAAGCGGAGGAGUUCGCCCAAAUGGUUGUUUUGCCAGAUUCAGAUGUGGAUAUCAGGAAACUCGUGAGGAAAACACACAAAGGCGAGUUCCAGGUUGAGGACGACCAAGAUAGAGAUAUUGUAUCGGCAGAGGUUGCCAUCGGGACAAAUUCACUCAAUUUGCCACGACAACCCAAACCGAAACGAAAAGAAUCUUCUCCAUCAGAGAGUGGAAACGCAAAAAACACAGAAAAUUCGGAAUACACCGUCACAAUUCCUUCAACUGAAGCAGGUGACUUGAUGCAAGGUCUCAUGGUGGAUGAUGAGCUGAAGGAUGCCGAGUUUCUUCCCCCGAUUGUUUCCCUCGAUGAGUUUAUGGAAUCUCUUAACAACGAGCCCCCAUUUGAACCCUUACCUGAGGAUGCUGCUGAUAAAGCAACAACUCCAGCUUCUGUAAAGAAUGAUUCGAAGGUUGACUCAGAAAACAAGUCUCCUGAAAAUCUCGAAAAAGCUGGAAGUGAGGGACAAAAUGCCAAGUCCGUUGCUGCCGAGCAAUCUAGCAAGGAGAAUGACGAGAUAUCGAACACCACAACUGCUGUUGAUAUCAUUAAAGGUGAACGUGCCUGGGAAGGGUUACUGCAGCUCAACGUCUCUGCCACUGUUCCAGUUGUUGGCAUCUUUAAAAGGUAAAUCACUAAUCCUGCCAUACUGCUUUAGUUAUAAUCUGUUUGUUUUCUUUUGGUCCUACGGUGCUCAAAUUUGUUUUGCCUUGUUCGGUCUAUAAUGACUGAUUUGAGAUACUUGGUUAUUGCAGCGGGGAGAAGACACAGUCCAAGGACUGGCCUAGCUCGAUCGAGAUUAAGGGCCGAGUGAGACUGGAAGCAUUUGAGAAGUUCUUGCAGGCGCUUCCGAUGUCCCGAAGCCGUGCUGUCAUGGUAUCCCCAGUUUCUUUUAGUUGUAGUAAAUUAACCGUACAUCAAAAGUGGAGAGAAGGGCCUUUGGCUCCCAUUGUUCCGACUCAACUCGGUCUGGAGAGAGUUAUUUGUAUGAACUCGUGGGUUGACGGAAGGUCAAAUCGAGCGAAACUAGAAUUCUUUUAUAAUUCGAUGCUAUCAGAAUCGCAUGGAAUUCAAGUCCUAGCUAUCUUAGCAACAAAUUUCCAGUCGCUCCUUGCCAGACUAGCUGAAUUCGGAAUAGUUACACUAGACCUCGUUCAAUGGCGUUACCAAUGAAUGAAUUCCGCUGCGUUAGAUUUGGAAUAGACACUUGAACCUGAAAAUCAAUUUGGACUAUGAAUGCCAAAUGAAUCAAUUUAUGUAACCAGUUAUAUUGGUAACCUGACAUUUGAAACAUUCUAUCUUUACUUAUGCAGGUGGUGCAUUUUGUGUACAAGGAAGGGUCAGGCGAGAGCGAAAUGGCAAACAUUGUCGAGGUAACGUUACUGGAACACCACUGAAAAGUAAAGCUUGUCUCUCUAUUGGUUGUUGUGUUUGAAUGUUUUGGUUUCGGUACUACAGGCGUCGGAGUCGUAUGUCUCAGAUGAGAGAGUUGGGUUCGGCGAGCCAGCUCCAGGAGUGGAGCUCUACUUGUGCCCUCCUAACUCAAGAACAUGCGACUUGCUAAGCAAAGUCCUGCCGCAGGAUCAAAUGGACGGCCUUAAAUUGAUUGAAAAUGGUCUAAUUGGUGCUAUUGUAUGGAGAAAACCUCAAAUAAUAUCACCAUCGAACCAUAAGCACAAAGACUCCUCCAAAAAGCACUCGUCUUCCUCCUCUAGUAGGAGGCACCAUCAUAGUGAUGUCAUCGCUCGAAAUGUGAAACACCAUUCCAGGCCUCAACCCGGUAUGGCCGCAGUUGGAAAUGAUGACGAGGAUGAUGAUGUGCCUCCUGGGUUCGGUCCGCCUGCGGGUGGACCGAACCGGGACGAGGAUGACUUGCCUGAGUUUAAUUUCUCCAGUAAUAAGUCAGCAGCAACGAAUAAUAGGCCGGUUUUCCCUACCGGCCGUGUAGACCAAAUGAGAGAGCUUAUACAUAGAUAUGGACAGCCGGAUCGUGAUGUAAAAAUUGUCGGUGUUUCUGUACAGCCGUGGAAAGACGAUGAUGACGACGAUGAUAUGCCGGAAUGGCGGCCUGAAGACUCACAACGCCAUGUCGCGCCUCCUAGCAACUUGCGCAAUCAGCAACUGCCCAGUUUGCGACCCCACAUGGUCCAGCACCUACCGCCGCCUCCUCCUCUGCCAGGUUGGCCGCCACAUCAGCAGCAAGGUGGCUGGACUUCCCUGGCUGCUCCGAAUCUUCAGCAGCAGCAGCAACUGAACGGCGAAAGCCAGCUUUAUGGACAGCAAGGCCCGACCUGGCAGACGAGAGAUGCCCCGAAAAGUAGAGGCUUUUAGCUUUGCUGUUUUAGAUUGUAAAUAGUUGUUCUUUCCCCCUUUGUUUACUUUGUUAGUCCAGAUUAGGUCAUCUUUCAAUUUGGUUUCAUCUUUGUUUUCAUUACAUAAAUGGACUAGACAUCAAAUAUCUGAACAAACAUUUUGAACAUCAUCAUCCUAAGACAUUUUUUACGGCUGUUUUUUGCUCUGAGGUCAACUUAGUUGGAAACUUCACUUCAAACUUAACCCUCAAGUCUCCUCUCUUCCCCGGCUCUUUAGCUAUCGGCAUACCUUCCAUCGCGACCACAAGCUCGUAUCCGGGGCUUAUGAUGUCGUUCACCGGAAUCAACAAGCUACGCCCGUCCAAUGUGGCGAUCUUUACGGCGGUCCCUCCCAGGGCCUCCGCUAGCGUAACACGGUGGUUGAUAAUCAAAUCAUUUCCGUCUCUUUUGUAAACAUCGUGACGUUUCUCGUCGAUUACGAACACUAAGUCUGCCGGAAGCUGGUUUGGCUGCUCAUUCCCCUUAUCUGGGAAUGUUAUCUUUGUUCCCUUUUUCCAUCCUGGCUUCACAUCGAUCGUUAGUAUCUCUGUCUCCUGGGCUUGCUUCCUGUCCAAUUAAGUGAAAAAGUAAAGAGAUUUAUCAACCAAAAUGAACACCGGUCCGGAUUAGUAGGUAAAGAUUACGGCUUUUGAUUUGACAAGUGGAAAGUUGGAUGAAAUUUCGAGCAUUUUUCCAGCCGGACAGAAAAGUCAAAUCCCGUCGAAGUGAUUUUAAAGAACGAGCUUUCCAAUUGCCAUCUAAAUUCCAUCAAAAUUUUCCACCUGCCAAACCAAUUUCCGUAAAAUUGAUGGAUUACCCAUGGCAGCCAGCUACAGUUCUUGAGAUCUUCAUUUUUCUGGUGGAUCCAGAGUAGAGCUCCUUAAGGCUGCAAGGCAAUUUGCUCUCCACAGGUGGAGCCUUCUUCUUUGGCGUUUUGGAAUCUUCAUUAUCUGGUUGGAAUCUUGAAUAUGAUCUUGCUGGUUGGAAUCUUGAAAAUGGGCUGCUGCUCCCAAAAAACUCUGCAAAUAUAUCUUCAGCAUUCCUCGAAUAAUUGAAUCCUCCUCCAUCGGAAGGGAUGGUUUCGUUCAGCCCUUCUUCGCCAUACAGGUCGUAAUUCGCCCUCUUUUGCGGGUCGCUCAGUGCCUAGCAGCGAAAAUGGAUGUUAAGGAAUCAAUAGGGAGUGAAAAUCAAAGAAACCCAGAAAAUGUACUGUUUUUUUUACAUCAUAAGCUUGAGAGAUGUGCUUGAAUCUGGAUUCAGCAUCUUUCUUGUUGUUAGGGUUCUUGUCGGGGUGCCAUUUCAUAGCCAGUCUUCUGUACGAUCUCUUCAGAUCGUCCUCCGAUGCGUUCUUGCUCACCUUCAAUACCUCGUAGUAAUCUACACCCAUCUCAAAAGAAACAAACCCAGAAAGAAAGAAUGCCUGAAGAUCAGAUCUUUAAUGUUUCACAAGUUUUCCCAACAUUUGAACAUGUUUGAUUCUAGUCCGAGGUUGUUAUUAAUGGCAAUGGUGAACAAAUUCAGUACAAAAAAAGGAAAAAGGAAGCAUCUUUGGAGAGCUGGACAAGAAAAGAGUCAAAUUUUUGCUCAAAUUUGGAAUCUUUAUGUUCUGUUCUUCCCAUUGCAUACAAAACUGUACAAAAGAAGAAGAAAAAGAGAAUCUUUCUUGGCUAUACUGUAAACCUGAUUGAUACAUACAGGUGAAACAAAGAUAAAGACUAGAACUUUGGAACUUGACCAUCCAUUUGUCAUCUUUCGGUUGCGAGAUUCUCAUCGCCAUUUUCGUCGACGAUGGAUGCAGAAGCAUGAGGACUUCUAGCAGAGAUCCAUGAUUCCAAACUAUUAUCGUCAGGAGUAUAAGCACAGGAAUUCGAGAAGGGGUUCAUCUUGGAGCUUACUUGCGAGGCAAGCCAUUGAUUGCAUACAUACACCUUGCUUUAAUGCUUCCCCUAGCCUUCUUAACCGACAUUGAAUGUCCUGCGAUUAACGCAAUCGGAGAAAAAGCCAUGCCGGAACCAGUCUUGCUGGUGCUGGCGGACACAGAAUCAUGUCGUCCUGUGAAUCAUUCAAAAGUGUAUAUGAGCUGAUGCUGUCGUUUUUCUUUCGAGAUUCUUCUUCUUAUCGAGUCGAUACUUUUAUCUCGUAGAAUGAUAAGUAGCUUGUGCAGCAAGCAAGCUAGCUAGCUUCCUCUUCUUACCUUGGAAGAAUGAUAGCUAGAUUGACCAAUUUAGCCUGAUUUCUUGACAUCUGCAGCAAAAUUACAAUCAUGGAAGGGAAAAUGCAGAACAGGCUCAGCAACUCGACCAUAACUACAAAAGAAUUAGGCGAAAUAAAACACGUGAUCCAUUCAAGACACUUACAAACCUCAACGAGGUCCGAUUCCUAUUCCUAUUCUGAUUCGGAUUCUAAUUCUGAGUCAAGUUCAUCCAUGGAGGAAUAAUUUCACACCCUUCCUAUCACAAGCUCGCGACAGGAUAGAGUAUGACGUUCCAUCGGGCACAAAUCCAGAAUCCCUAAACUUCUCAAACACCCAGAUCACCAAAUCAAGCGAACCACACUUGCAAAGCUCAUCCAGUGCAACAUUAGGAGUCACUAUGCUUGGUUUAGGUCCAUUAACCAACAUAGAAUCCAAAACCUUCACACAUCUCAACACUUUCCCAACUCUGCACCAAUACCGUAUCAAGCAAGUCAAAGUCACGGCAUCAUGUCCGACCCCUUUUUCCUCCAUACGGUACCAGAUCCAUUCGACCAUUUCAUCAUUCUUCAGCUUGCAAGCACGAGACAGAAUGGUAUUAAACGAAACCACAUCAGGCUCGAACCGAGUCCACACCGCGAAAGCCAUGUUGAACUUGUUCUCUCUACAGAAUCCGUUCAGAACGAUGUUAUACGACACAUUGCUCGGAACGAAACCGAAACAUUCCCCAUACCCAGUUUCCAACCAAGACAACGCUUCUUCCGUUUGACUCUGCCUACACAAGCACUGAAGAUAUACAUUGAAAACCGCAACAUCAACACUAAAACCUUCCGAACUCGUAUCCAGCAAAAAUCCGGCAGCAUUCCGGACUCUCCCGUAUUUUACAAGUCCUCCAGCUAGCACAGCAAUGGUGUACGCAUCAGGACAUAAUCCACUCGAAACAAUCAAAUGUAGAACCCUAAAAACCUCGCACGUUCUAUCCAAACACGAUAAUUCUCGUAGAAUCACGUUAUAUACAAGCAAGUCCGGACUGAAUCCUUCAGCUUCCAUUAAACUCAAAUACCUCAAUGCCUCUUCCACCCUCCCGUUCUCGCACAAGAACUGAACCACGACAGUAUACGUAACGAGGCUAGCUUUCAAACCGCUCUCUUUCAUCUCAGCGAGACACAAACACGAGUCUUCAGAAUGCCCUUCUUUACAAAAUCCAUAACCCAAAGCUGUGUGUAAGAGCAGACAUCUAAUGGAACACCAUUCUUUUUCAGCCAGUAAGACAAUCUCAAAGCAGUAGAUCUCUGACCGGAUUUACAUAAAGACCAAAGAAUCGGAUUCGAAAUAUACACUCCAAAGAAGCAUCCUUUAGCAAGAACAGCUGAGAUUACCAUAUAUGCUUCAUGAAUCAUUCCUUUCUUACUAAACAUACAGAUCAACACAUUCAAAGAUGGCUCUGUAGGGAUAUAGUCCAACAUCAACAUGACUUCAAAUACACCAAGUGAAUGAUUCAAACUCUCGAAUUCCAUAGAUUUCUUCAGAAACUUCGAUAAAAGAGUGAAUGAUGGUAAUAAGCCACUGGAGAACAUCACUUCCAUGAUAAAGAAUGCAACUUUGAAAUUCCCAACGGAUACCAAACCAUUGAUGAGUAAAUUAAAAGUUAUGGCAUUCAGUUGUAUCCCUGAGCUGCUCCGGAUUUCACAGUAAACUUGAAGAAAAUUUUCCGAGAAAGGAUUCCCGCCAUGAUUCAAAUAACUGUGGUAUAGAGCGUUGUAAUCGUGAACAGUUAGCUUACUUGGGAAGCUUCUCAUCAAGUCCAGAGAGCUUGCUGGAGGUCGCAGGAAGGGGCGUGGCUCCGCAUACUAUGCUGAAAUUCCUCGAAGGUGAAAUUAUUGGAAGCUCCAUUGACGGAUUCGACUGAUUGGAGAGCACAAGAGGAGAAAGAAGCGAGCUUGGAGAAAAGGAGGGAGGAGAAGCUGCGGAUUUUGAGCUUGGAGUGGCUAAUUGAUGAAGUGGAACAUAAGGGCAUGGCGCGGGAGAGGGAGAGUUUGAAGUAUGAGCUCGACGGGGAGCGGGGGAGCUGGCUGAGGAGGAACCAUGUGGCUGAGGAGGAACCAUGUAGAAGAAAAAUGCCCGCCAAUGAUGGAGUUUGUAGCAGAGCUGAGAAAGGGUUUAAACACUGCGAUUCAACAGAAAACGACAUCGUACGAAGGACAUCAACUGUUCGUGGGCCAAAUGAAAUUGGGUCGUAAGAAGAGUAUUCUGAAGUUUUGAUCUGCUUUUUUUUUGGGCCCAAAGUUAGUUUUGAAAUAAAACCUAAUGUAGAGCUGGCGGCAACUUGCCGAUCAGGGGUGUUAUAUAUUUAAUUCUGACGGUUCGGUCUAUAUUCAUCCAGUUUUGAUGUCGGUGGCAUUAUUCGAGAUGAUAGAGGACACUUUGUGAGAACUUUUAAUUCGAAUUUGGAACGGUGUUCUAUUUUGCGAACAUAGCUCAUUACAAACUGAUUCCAAAGCAGCGGUCGAGGUUCUUAAAGAACCAUUUAGACUUGACCAUUAAAUUUGCAGGUGUGGCUCUUGAUUUUUGGCGGCCAUGUCAACUGGACUUUGGAGGUGUCUCUUCUCCAUCGUAUUAAUCGCGAGGCGAAUUAUGGCGCGAAUUAUAUCGCUAAAUUAGGGUCAUACUUUUGAUAUUAGUACUUUGUUUUUCCUUUUUUCGGAUAACAAUUUUAAGGGUUGGUAUGAUCUUGUUGACGAUAGCCUUCCCUGUUGUUUGUAAUUUCUAGGGAUUUCUAGCGAUUAAGAUUCAUUUGUUAGCAUCAAAGAUUCUUUUUUCUUGUGGUCGAACCUCAUUGUAGUUGUCAUAUAACAAAGAUUCGGAAAAAAAAGAGUAUAUAUAAUAUACUAGCUCCAACAUUUUAUAAAAACAAUUCCUUUAUAAACUAAUUGUAGGUUAGUGCUGUUGAACUAUUCAAACUUCAAAAACUGUUUGAUUUUUUCAAAUUGGUUUUUUUUACGGUUCAUCGAUUUAACUGAAAAGGUAAAAUAGUGAUUCCUUGUAUAACCUAUGUAUAUAAGUAGUCACGACUUAUAAGUUAAACAAGUAUAAAUAUCGAGUUACAAAUAUUUUGUUAAUGUGUUUCUUAUUCAAUAUUUGAUUUUCGUACAACAAUAAUGUUUAUCGAUUUAAUCUUCGUUAAACUUCAAAAUCUUAAAUGAUCUCUCGUAUAUCUGAUUCGACGUCUGGUCCAAUUUGAACAACAUUUGAUGGGUUAAUCUGCUUGCAGCUUCUUCACACAUUCUUCAAUAGCAGGCGCCGUAUAUAUAUUGACUUGAAUAUGAUAAAUAAAUUAAGUGGACACAUGGUCGGAGAAGUCGUGUGUACAACUUUUGAGGAGUCUUGAACCCAAAUUCUAAGUAGCAUUUUGGAAUAGAUUUAUUGACUUCAAAAGUUACAACAAAAAAAGUAAUUAUAUCUCCAUCGUUGAUAAAUCAACGAUAAAAAUGUGCCUUAUAUAACGCCUUAUGUAUACGGAUUUGAUUGUUUUAGACGUGUCCGGAAGUCCUUUGGCACAUAAUUUAUUGUUCCGCCUAACAGAUCGAUUGGGCCAAUAAUGUAAGUGAGUGACCUUCAUUACGAUGGGACGCCUGAGAAUCUUUGACGGGGCAAGGGAUAGUACGAGGGAACAUAAGGAUAUAAGCAUAUUGAAUAUGAGAAAGAGUGAGACAGAAUUAAGUAUCAUUGUUGUGUAUCCUAUUUUAGGUGGGGUCUGUUUGCAUGUAGCACAGUGCGGACGUACAUCAUAGGUGUAUAAUUCUUGUCUAGUAGGAUGUUUUCGUCUUAAAUGGGGAGGGUGUGGAGCCUUUUAUGUAGUCAUGGUGGCACAAUUCUAGCCUACACGUGUCACAUCAAGAGUGAUGGAGACCAUAGGCUAGAUCUGAAUCGUAUAAUAUUAGACAGCCAUGAGUUGCCUAAGUCCGUAUAGAGGAAUAUGGGUCGGCGACAUGUCCCAGCCGUAGCGUGUUUCUGUCACUUGAUGAGGAAAAAUGAUCCCUGAUAUAGGUGAGUAUACGAACUUGUCCUAUCAAUGUGACAGAUAUGUAAGUCCAUCCUCCGAUUUGCAGGGUUGAUUCGACUGCUAGACCGCGGCCCACCCUGCCUUUGAUUAGCCCUGUGAGUUUAGGUUGUGAACCAUCAAUAACAAACAAGAGUAGGAAAUCUUGUUUUAAUAUCAAGUAAAUUGAGGUAGACGGGAAAAAAGGAGUGCAAAAAAGAACUCGUGAAGAUUAAACCGAUGUCCCAAAUUUUUACCAAACCAUGUGCAACCAACCAACCAAACCAUGUUCUUACAUGUAAGUUAUUGUAUAUUAAUCUCUUUUCACACCAUUUUGAAACCAAUUUGUAAGGGUUUUGAUGGUUAUUGUUAUUAAGAAUGUAUGUAAUUUUGACUAUAAAAAUUUUAGUUUUGAUUUUUAGCGGUUUCCCCAUUACAUACAUGCAGAAUUUAGAAAUUUUCUACACUAACAUAACACCAAGUAAAAUUAAUUUUUAACUUCAUUUAUCCAUUAUUUACAAGGGUUAUCAUAGUAAAACUUGAUUAUUUUAGCCAUUUCCAACAUGCAUGUCAAAUAUGAGCCGAUUUGAAAAUUUUGAAAUUUUCAUGUCAAAAUGGCUCAUUUCCAUNNNNNNNNNNNNNNNNNNNNNNNNNNNNNNNNNNNNNNNNNNNNNNNNNNNNNNNNNNNNNNNNNNNNNNNNNNNNNNNNNNNNNNNNNNNNNNNNNNNNNNNNNNNNNNNNNNNNNNNNNNNNNNNNNNNNNNNNNNNNNNNNNNNNNNNNNNNNNNNNNNNNNNNNNNNNNNNNNNNNNNNNNNNNNNNNNNNNNNNNNNNNNNNNNNNNNNNNNNNNNNNNNNNNNNNNNNNNNNNNNNNNNNNNNNNNNNNNNNNNNNNNNNNNNNNNNNNNNNNNNNNNNNNNNNNNNNNNNNNNNNNNNNNNNNNNNNNNNNNNNNNNNNNNNNNNNNNNNNNNNNNNNNNNNNNNNNNNNNNNNNNNNNNNNNNNNNNNNNNNNNNNNNNNNNNNNNNNNNNNNNNNNNNNNNNNNNNNNNNNNNNNNNNNNNNNNNNNNNNNNNNNNNNNNNNNNNNNNNNNNNNNNNNNNNNNNNNNNNNNNNNNNNNNNNNNNNNNNNNNNNNNNNNNNNNNNNNNNNNNNNNNNNNNNNNNNNNNNNNNNNNNNNNNNNNNNNNNNNNNNNNNNNNNNNNAUAUAUAUGUAUAUAUAUACUACCUACCAACCUGCCAAUUAUCAAAUUGUGAUUUUUUUUCAAAUUGUAAAAAAAAUCUCCAUAGGAUUACUAUUUGACGCCCUAUCUUUUGAAUUAAUUGACGCCCUAAACUCCGUAAAGACGAAACUAUCCAAAUUUACUUAUUCGAAAAACUUCGUAAAAACGAAACUAUCUGAAUUUACUCAUUCAAAAACCUCUCUCACGGUACGUGUCUCCUUACAAUUCGGUAAAUUUUAGCGGGUGGGAUCAAAAAUUGGGCCGACAAGCAUCCCGGCCGACGGCAAAUUUUGGUCGCAGGUAGCCCCGACCGGCUGUUUCGGCCCCCAGUGUUGCCAGCCGAAACAGUCGGCCGACCAGGAGGCUUCGCGGCCAAAUUUUCGGUUCCGUCGGGUGGUCCUCUGACCGAAUUUUUUUUCUAUUUUCUAACGAUCUCCUUUAAUAAUUUUUCAGAUAAUCACAUUCUUCACAUGGUUUUAACGUUCGUUGGAUGCACUAACUCGACAUGAACAAUUCGAUAAGUGGUCGAUAAUUUUGUUGUAGAAAUAAUUGAAUUAAUACGAAAUUUAUAGAUAAUUGAUAAAUGAAGCAUUUGUUUUGUGUGUUUAUAAUGUACCGAGAUUCAUCGGUGAGUAAGGGUGAUGGAAUCAAUUACACCAAACACUUUUUAUCUGUUGAUGUUCACAAUACUGCCGAGGAAGCUUGUGAACCUGCUAAGCGAAUUGCCCAGACACUUAAUUUCAAGUUGACUAAAGGAUCCAACAAAAUAAACUAGGUAGAGCGAGAGUACCGUGUAUAUCUAUAUUGCUCCCGGGGACCUGCUCGUAAAUCCUAAUGUACCGACCCGCCGAAAUGGAUUACGAAGAUGAAGAAGUGUGACUGCCCCUUCAAACUGGCAGUGACGUGUCAGGUCGCAGGUGACGAGUGUAAGUUAUUUAUUGACGGUGUAGGCCACACCAACAAUCCUACAGUCCGGUCAGCAUUUCAACCCGAGUCAGAGGGGUUCAAGGAGCCUAAGGUUUCUGAUGCUCCUAAAGGUAGACAUCGUGCUAGAAAGACCGACCGUCGGAAUUCUUCUUGGCAUGAGCAUGCUAGUGCGCAAUGUACUCCACCCAAGAGUAAAGGUAGUUCGACUCGAUCUACACCUUCGAACACUAGCUCGACUCCAGGCUUACCACUUCCCACUAGAGGUAUGUUAAAUAGUUGAUACCGUAUUUGCGAUCUCGUUUACUGUAACUUUCUUACUCAUGUUUAUUUUUGUCGUCUACUGUUUGACCGUUUUGGCAGUACAUCUCAGAGGGUUUGCACGGCAUGCUGAGUGACGUGUUUAACCCACACGGUGAUGGACAUUGUGGAUUUUGGUGCAUUUCAUACAUAGUUAUGCCCGACGACGAUAGUCAGUAUGUUGACAUGCGGAGACAGUUAAUGGAACAGGUUACGUUGAAUUGGUACGAUCUGUAUAGUAACGUGUAUAACACGGACUUGAAUGGCGUCAUUCACCGGUUAGGUUGGCUCUGGGAGACACCAUGUGAUGAUCCAUGGUGAUUCUGGAACGCGGAUCUGUUAGGUCAUGCCACUAUAUUUAACUGGACAUUCAUCAUUUUUAGACCUGUUUACGAGGGUUACCGUAUGAGGAGACAUACCUACUUUGAUUGUACAAGAGGGCACAGUGGCACCAGCUGGGGUGUCGUACAUAGUGUGUACCGGUGAAACACUAGGUUGUGCUCAUUUUAGAUGAUGAUAUUCGGGUCUUACCCAUCCCGGGUAAGUCUUUGUUUUGGAGCUAUUGGGCUCAAUACCGAGCUAAACAGAUGUGGCAACAUGACUUACACCUGGCCGAGCAUACAGAGUACGCACGGCUGAACCCGCAGGUCUUGUCCUUGAAUUUAGUGUAUCUAAUUGUCGGACUUUAAUAAUAACCUCUCUUAUUAUUAACCAGUUCCUCUAUUGUGUCUGUGACUUGAUGUUACGUUAAUGGAUUAACGGUUUGUUUUUAUUUUAUUAACAACAUAAUCGUCUCAAACAGUUAGUGGGGCCGGCCGAACAGACGUUAAGGCAGCACUGGGGCUAUCCGGACGGUCAUUUCGGCCCGCACUGGAAAUAACCGGCCAGCCGGCCCCUAGUGCCGACUGAAACAACCGACCGGCCGACCCCAAUGACUAUGGAUUCUAGACUUUUUGGGGGGUUAAUUGUGUGAUUAAUUGAACGGGAAUGGUAUUAAUGCGAAAAGAGGACAUAAUAACACUUAAAUAACUCGAAUUCUGAGUUAUUGGGUCCAAUGGUACUAAACUUAAGUGCGAAAAUGAAACAAAACACUCAGCUAUAACGUAUGAGGCAAGGAAAGUACAAUAAAGAGAGUCUCUAAUCACGACGACCUUCUCUCUAGCGCCGGUAGCCCACAUACAAGUCCUCAAACUGAUGGCGCAUUCCCACCAUAUGAUCGUAGUACUCCUGCGACAAGUCUAUGUGUUGCUCCCCCAACGUCCCAUUGAAAUAGGUAGUCAUACCAUCAAAGAUCCGAUGAGAAAUCUGUGCACAGACAUAAAAUAACAUUUAAUGUAACGAAAUUUACAUACUCUAAACCCAUUAGAUAAAAAGUAAAAUCAAACUUACUAUCUCAGGAGGAACGCCUACAACAGACUCAACCGGCGCCACGAUGCACGGUGACUUUGCUCGAGAUACCAGUCCAUGUACCCUGGAGCCACAUCCUCCCCGGCCACUGCUCUCUGGAACAUAAGGUGGAGCCGGUGAAUUUAGAUGAACUCCUGAUCCGACCAAGUCCUAUCCUCCGUUGUGGCUCACUAGACCGCAUAGUUCCAAAUCGUGCGAGGCCUAUUAGCUCGCAGCGGCGCAACAAUCGAGGGAGGGACAACCUACGUGUACCCGAACUAUCUGAGAACAUGGUAGGAAUCGUAGUACUCACCAACGUCGGUGCAGCGAAUGAGUCCACGAAAAGUCGACCCGGGAACCUCGACAUUGGGGUGGGCCCAAAUGGAAGUCAAAUCACAUCACAGGGAUCCAUGUUAUCGACGAGGCGCCGGUAGUACUCUAACCUCUCUCGUAGGACUCCUCCACCCCUACUAGGUGUCUCGACACUGUGCCAUCUGCCAGAUAACGUAGCUCCCGCCCUACGCUCCUAUCGAACCAUCCUGGAAGGUCGUACAUUGGGAAAGUACUCGUAAAUCUAGGACUGCAGCAACGUAACACAGCCUGACAAUGCCUUCGCGUCCGCAUGGCUAGCGUUCCCAAGUUCACGGUACAACCAAACUAGCACACCAGCACGUCAAGUGUACUUUAGUACAUUACUAAUCAAACCCGUGAAGUACUCCCAACUUAGAAGGCGUGAUCGAUCUGCAAAUCUAUCCUGAAAUAGAGUAGCUCUGAGAAGAUCGAAAAAGAAUACCUUAUAGGCAGUCUCAUCCCCCAUAUGCUUGCCGAUCGAGAUCAUGUCCCUCUCGUACAAGGCGAGGGUGAUCGUACAAUGGUUGGCCAACAGUCUCGCCCCUAACCGGAUGCUCCAACGCAGUAGCAGACCCAAACCCAAGCAGCUCAGCUACACCCGCCCUCAAAUCAACAAGAGCUCGGGGUUUAUGAAGCGGUCAUCCAGCCACCGCGACCCGAAGAAUGUGGUAGACGUCGUACAAAGUGAUCGUUAUCUCCCCCCACGGCAUGUGAAAGGUGUUUGUAUCGGACUGCCACCUCUAAACAAAUGUAUCGAGAAGAGGCUCAUCAAGGUGGGUCGACAUGCACUGACCCAAGUGAAGAAGUCCCGACUCCUGCAUGAUCUGACAAAUGGUCUUCAUCUGGAUGUUGAAGUCGCUCAUCGUGUUUCAUUGUUUGGGGCGCUUCUGGAAUCUGAAGCUCUUCAUAUGCAUGUAUCCUCUCCAGACUGUCACCAUCUGAAAGUUGGGGAUCAUUGUCGGCCUCCUCGGUCCACCAUCUAGAAGCUCUGUAGUAAGCUCUCAAGUACAAUCGAGUCCCUCCCAAUCGACUCCACUUGCAACCUCCUCCUCUCGUACCCGCACAAGUCGGCUAGGUUCCCUCCUCUAACACAAACACUCGCAGAGGCAUGUGACGAGCCUGUAGAAGCGAUGUGCGGAGAUGUCGUGUUCGGAGAAGCCAUGUGCGCGAAAGUCCGUGUCUCCUUGUAUUCAAACCCCGGCGGUGGACCAUCAUCCUCGUCAUAAUCUUCCGGAAAUGCCCUAACCUGGUACGUAACAGGAGGGUACCAGUCAGGGGAGCCGUAGAUUUUCAACUUCUUGUUCUUCUUCGCAGUCUCUCCCUCUUUUCGCCUCGAAGCGGUGAUCACUCGCUCUUUCAUCCGAUCUAAAAUGCCUGCUUGCUUUCCUUUCCCUCUCAUUUUCUGGAUCUCAUCUGUUUCUUCCUCUAUCGGAUCUUGACUGUACGAUUUACCUCCAUCCUUUAUCUUCGCCAUCUUUUUCAAGAAACUGCAUUUAAAAAAAUAAACAUUUCUAAUAAAAUUCGCAUUCUGCUAAACUAAAUUCACUUACUAUUCCUAACAAAAUCCUAAACCCUCACUAAUGAUGAUCUAAUUAUCCUAAUUACUCACAAACAAUUAACUAAUUACACUAAUCACUAACUAUAAUUAUUUAAUUAUCCUAAUUACUCACUAAACAUUAUCUAAUUAUACUAAUCACUCACUAACAAUUAUCUAAUUAUCCUAAUUACACAAAUUAAAUAAAUUAACUAUAAAAAAUACCCGGCCGGCCGCCUGAUUUUUCCAGCUGGCAACUUGCCUCGGCCGAAAUCGGCGGCCAGCUGGGGCCUUUCUCGGUCGAAUCGGGCAGGGCCUCCUAUGGCCUGUUUUCAUGAAAAUUGAAAAAUAUUUGACAAGCAUAUUGAGAAUAACUAAAAAUUGAAGUUUCUCCAUGUUAAAUUCUUCAUAAACAAAGUUAAAAAAGAGUUUUAAAGUGUUUUGAUUUUUUAUUAUUGUUAGUGGAGAUAUAUGUAGGACUAUCAUUAUAGAUCGGUUACUAAGUUAAUUAUUUUAAUCAGUAUCGUUUGGUUAAUUCACAUACAUGUUGGGGUUAAUGCACAUAAAAGAGAGUGUGAGAGAUAGAGAAGUAUCAAGUGGGUGCCUAUAAACAUAUAUGGUGGUACCUAAGGCAUAUUAGCUUAGUAGAGUGUCCGAAACUCCGAACUUUAGACAUGAGUGAAUAAUUUAUGUAUUCAAUAAAAAAAACCAUCUUUCCUUCUAUAAUUUCUUGAAAGCUGAAUUGAAAGUUGAAUCAGAGGUUAUUACAUUUUUUCUAGUUGGUUGGUGAUUAAGGUUGGAAUGAAUCUCGAUCAUUAAUAAUAAAAUUAAGGUUGAAAUUGUCUUUAAGAGCACCUUCAUCCUAAACAAAAAUGAUGAUUGCAAUUUAACAAAUAAUAGAACCUUCCGACAACAACCACUGUUAUAGCUGAACUAGGUUUCGCCUACUUGGCUAAGAGAGAAUCUAAAUAGAUUAGAACCGGUCAGGUGAGCAGCUCCGGCCGGCGGCAGGCCGCAAUACCAUUUAGCAACGUGGUACUGUUAGCCGCCGGUAAGCUAUGAAUAUAUAAUAGCCGCCGGUAUUCAAUACUGUUAUAUUAUUUUAAAAACAAUAGUACAUGAGUUGGUUUCACCUAAUCAAGAUUCAAGAGUACAUUGUUUUUUAUUAACAUACUCCUACAAGUUGGACCUUGAGCUAAUUAUCUGAUCAGAUUUAACCGAUAAGAUAUUAUUCGGUAAAUUUAAGUAUAGAUUUUAACAAAUGUGGUUAAUCAUGCCACGUAUAUUGAUUUAUCUCUUCCGUUAUUGAUGUAAGAUUUCUUUUUACAAUUUGAUUAUUUGAUAAACAGUGACGAGUCUAAACCAGUAUGACCAAUGAGAAUUAGUUGUUUGCGACGUUGAGCCAAGUGUGUGGAACCUUCGACAACUUUUGGGAAUCCUAUGCAAAGCUAGAAACUCUGGCUAGAGCAGCAUGCUCGAGCCUCAAUUUUUAUUUAUAAAAGAAAAAAAUAAAUUAUUAUUCAAUAAAUAGUAUUUGGUUUUUUUAUAAAAAUUUUAUUUUGAGUUCAUUAAGACUUUAUUUUGAAUUUACUGCGGCUUUAUUUUGAGCUCACAUAUUACCCUUUAUGGGUCAUGGUAUUUUCCAUUUUUCAAAUGACAUGACUUAAAUUGUUUCGCGCUUUCACUUUGCUAAUGCGUUUUUUAUAACAAAAAAAACUCUAUCUAUAAAAGGAGAACAUGAAUUACUAUUGAAUGAAUAAAAUUUGGUCGGGCUUUAUUUGAGUUUAUUGGGGUUUUAUUUUGAGUUUACUGGGACGUUAUUUUGAAUUUAUGGGGGAUUUAUUUUGAGCUCACAUGUUACCCUUUAUGGGUCUUGUGGUAUUUUCCAUUUUUUAAUUGACAUGACUUAAAUUGUCUCGCGCUUUCACUUUGCUAAUACAUUUUCUAUAACGAAAAAGAGUUCAUUUAUCUCCACUUAUUCUCUAUAACUUUUUGCAGUAUCGCGCAAAUAAUUGUUGUGAACAAUAAAAGGAGUUUAAAGAUCAUUGUUUAAUUUCUUCCUAACACUCGUUUCUUUGCGAGAGAUUUAUAUUUGGUCAGACUUCAAAAAAACGAAUUUUACCAAACAACUUACUCAAAUUGGUUCUCCAAAUCAGACCGUAUUGUGAUUCAACGGGAGGUAACAGAUAACAAUAUUGUAGAACCAAACUAGCAAGUGAUUUGUUAACGUGGAAAACCAAAACAUUAGACAAAAUCGAAAGGUGUGUGAGAAUAAAAAAAAAAAACAAGCUUCUUCCCAACUGGUCCUAUAAUAUAACAAAAAGAUAUAUGAAUACUAUUAGUCUUCAGAAUUCAAACAAUAAUGUCAAUACAUUACACCACAAGCAAAACAAAGCCAUUGGUCACAUUUUUCUCUUAUAAUUAUCUUCUAACUUUUUCCCUAACAAACUUCAUUGGGAACCUUGGCAAUUUCGACUCGGUUGAUAUGGUCCGAUUCAUUUUUGAACGAAUAAUCGUGUACAAUAUAAAUAAGUAUGAGUCUUGGUCUGAUUCAUUAUCGAUUCAUUAUACAAAAUUUAUAAGCAUAACAGCGGCUAUAAUCUUAUAUUAUGACGGUUAAAAAUUGUUUGGAGCUUAACUUAGAUUUAAAAAAAUUAAAUAUGUUGAUUUUAUCAUUUUAUUUAGCAAAAAGAAUUACUCUAGAUAUCACAAUAAAUACUAUUACCCUUAUUUUAUGGAGGCAUUGUACCUACAAGAUUAAAUUAUAAUAGUUUUUUUUAUCAUUUAUAAAAGAUUGUAAUUCUCAACUAUCUUUUAAAUGGAGAAAAAAUGCUUUUUAAAUCAUUUGUACAUACAAAUGUUAAGUAGGGGUAAACAUUCGGUUAUGGAUAAUUGAUUAAAAUUUAUUUUGAAACCUAUACCGUUGAUUAAUUAAUUAAAGGUGAGACUUUUUUUAACCGAACUGAAUUUUGCCAUACUCUUUUGAUAUUUUGUUAAUACACCUAUUUUGAUUGACUUUUAUCAGUCAAUUGUAUUUAAUUAACUGGCCAUCAUAUGUAGGUCGAUUAAUCAGUUAACUUAUAUUUAUUUUAUUAAAAUCUUAAUCAACCGAUGGAUAGUCGAUUAUUGAGAUACCCGCCUGAAACAAACCGAACUGAACCAUCCCACUCCUACCUCUCACCUCAUUCUCCACAUUUUCUUCUCUUUUCCCCCAAAUGAAUAAUUUUCUUUCCAUCCAAGUCUAUAAAUAGUUGAUCAACCAUCUUGACAAAAUAGACAAAAUCCUAAGCUCAAAACAGAACCCCCUUGGCAUCCAACCAAAAGCCGAAACAGAGAGAAAAUGGUUGUCUUCAAAGGUUCCAAAUGGAACCCAAACCUCCUCCUAAGCUGCUUCAAGCCCAGAGAUUCAUCAUCAUCACCAUCUGAUCAUCACGAUCCGAAAUCUACGAAGAACAAUCACAAGGUAUGUUCAAGAAGAAUCUCACUGUUGGACUGGAGCAACCCGGAAUCUCAGCUCUCAGUGAUGAGCGAUCUCUCAAACCCUGUCUUCAACCUCCACAUCUUCACCCUCAAGGAGCUUCAAAAAGUCACCAGCAACUUUUCGAGGAGCAAUUACCUCGGAGAAGGCGGGUUCGGAGCAGUGUUCAAAGGGUUCGUGGAUGGGAAGAUCCGGCCCGGUUUGAAUGCUCAGCCUGUUGCUGUCAAAGUUCUUGACUUGGAUGGUUCCCAGGGCCACAGAGAAUGGCUGGUAAAUUAUUUAUAAAGAUUCAAGCUUUCUGGAGUAAAAAGAAAUGGGUCUUUUAGGCCGCGUUUUCCGCUCCUUAACCUUCCAAUUCCGGCUGGAAUUCGGAUUAAAGGUUCGAGCUUUCUGUAAAAAAGAAGAAAUGGGUAUUUUUUGCCACGUUUUCCACUCCUUAACCUUCCAAUUCCUUCUGGAAUUCGGAUUACAGAUUCCAGCUUUGUGUACAAAAAGUCUUUUCUGUUUUCUUGGCAAUGAAGUUUCAAUCUUUUGGGUUUUUUCUGAGGGUUUUGUGGAUGAUGUUCUUGGUGUGGUUUUUCAUGUUUGGUUUCAUUCGCGAAUCCUUUCGGAUUCAGACUUUUGUAGACUAUGAAAUCGGAAAUUGCAGAUAGAGGUUUCAAUCUUUGUAGUAAAAUUUGACUCUGUGCAGGCAGAGGUGAUAUUCCUAGGACAACUGAAGCAUGAACAUCUGGUAAACUUGAUUGGACACUGCUGUGAGAAUGAACAGAGGCUUCUGGUUUAUGAGUACUUGGAGCGUGGGAAUCUUGAGCAUCUCCUUUUCAGAAGUAUGUGUUGUCCUUUAUUGAUUUCGGUGUGGAAAGGUUUUCAUUUCGGUUCGAUUUUUGUUGUUCUUGGCUGAUUUGUGAACUUGGGUUAUAUACAGGGUAUACAGCUUCACUUCCUUGGCUAACAAGGCUGAAGAUUGCUGCAGGAGCAGCCAAAGGGCUUGCUUUCCUUCAUGAAGAGGAGAAACCGGUCAUCUACCGCGAUUUCAAGACUUCCAACAUCUUGCUCGACUCGGUAAGCAAGAAUAUUACCAGAGUAAUGUAACAAUUCAAGUUGUUGGGAUGUUAAACAGUUCAAUUUUCCCAUGUCAGGACUACAAUGCAAAGUUGUCGGAUUUCGGGCUGGCAACAGACGGGCCAGAAGGGGACGAAACCCACGUUACGACUCAAGUGAUGGGCACAGAGGGCUAUGCAGCGCCCGAGUACAUAUCAACAGGCCAUCUCUCAUCCAUGAGCGAUGUGUUCAGCUUCGGCGUGGUGCUACUAGAGCUGCUAACCGGUCGGAGGUCAGUGGACAAAACCCGGCCGCCUAGAGAACAAGUGCUUGUGAAAUGGGCAAGACCAUUCCUCAAGGACCACCAGAGGCUUGACCAGAUCAUGGACCCGAGGCUAGAAGGGCAGUACUCGGUCGAAGGCGCGAGGAAGGCUGCCGCACUGGCUAGUCAAUGCUUGAGCCACCAUGCCAAGUGUAGGCCAAGUAUGAGCAAAGUUGUGAAGACCUUGGAGGGCUUGAUGGAGUUGCAAGAUGACAUUCAAGUUGGUUUCUUUGUGUACAUUGUCCCCGUGGAGUGUAAACCCGAGAAAGGUACCGUUGUGAUGAAGUGCUCGGAGCAGAGCGAUCGGAAUGCUAAUAAGGAAGAAUCAAAGCAAGAGAAAGUUAGAGGGAGGAGGAGGAAGAAGAAGGGUACUAAAGCUGUAGUUCAUUCUGAUACAGAUUUGUACAAAAGAUUAGGGACUAGUUUGUACUCUCCUAAGACAUUACAAAGGUGAACUUAGGAACUACAAUUAUAACUAGUUAUACACAAAGAAAGUUGCAUAGGUUUUGUUAAUUUCCUUGAAGAAUUUUUAGUUUUCCGUCACAAAAUGGCUGUCUAAUUUUGUCGGAAUUCUGUGCCAAGUUGGCUGAUGUUGUAACACAUGAUUUAGAUUUGCCUAGUUUUGUGAUGUGUUUCUAUCCACUUGCUUCGUGUCCCCUAAUGAUGAUGAAGUUUGGUACAAAAGGAUAUAAAGAAUAAUCCACUAAUGUCAACCAUUGCAUAGAGUAACCUGAAAUAUGGAGAUUGACUUGCAAUAUGAUGUCGGGACGGAUAUAUACUGAAUUCGAGGUAGCACACAAUUAAAUAUAAAUAUUAUUGAAAACCAUGAUACUUUACACUCGUCUAAGGUAUUUUAGACUUACCCACUUAUCCUUGUAUAUGUUUCUGAUACCAAUUUUACUGUGCAAAUUGAUAUUUCUAAAGCCAUCAAAUUAAUAAGACUAGCCUUUAAGGAUUGAAUGAUAAAUAUGUGAAAAAACCAUGAUAAAAUAUGCUAAUUUGAUGUUUGAUAGGUAAUCAAAACCGGUUUCAGCACGAUUUUAGAACCACAAACACACCAUUUUUGUUUACUUUUUUAGAGCAAAAUCUAAUAUCUUUGUAAUGAUGAACUUGUUCAUUUUUUUCUUCAGUCAAGAACUCCAAGCUAAGCUAAGUCACAAAUUGGAUGGUUAAAGGAAUCUAGUACACAAAUAGACCUCCACUAAAGACCCAAAUGGGUUAAUUCCUCAAAAAAUAAAUGGGUAUAAUUCAAAAUUUCCACCCCACAAACACACCAACCCACUCAAGGGCUUCUGAGUCAGAUCUUAGAACAAAUGGCUGGUUGCCAUUUCCAAACAUUUCCAAGUCUCUUAUGGAAAUAGGAAGUUGUGUUUCCAUUCUUGGUGACAUACCUAUAGUCAAUAAUUUGAUGUGGUGGCCCCGUUUCAGCUCCCAGGGCCAUCUUUAUAGCAGUUAUUGCUCAUUGAUGGUCCCUGACCCUAAGAUCUUAUCUUUUGUAAGAAUAUGUAACGUUACGGAUGAACAUUUUUAAAACAUCACGGGCCAACCAGAGCUAAGGAAUUGCUAAAUGUUGUCCAAACCGUUAAAAUAGUGUACCAAAUACAUCUAAUAUUGAUGUGAUCAGCUAUUGACUCCUUAUUAGUCCGUUUUGCGUAUAUAUGGAGAAAUUCAAAAUUUGAGACUCACUGAUCCAACUGGUAAGACCGUCGACUAAUGUAGUGGAGCAACAUGUAUCUAUAUAGGUUUUAAGUUGGAUUCUAACUUCUCUUUAAGAGAAGGUAGGAAUUUAAUAUGGGAAAGAUCCAAAUUCGUGGUGGAGCACAAAUUAAAGUUAUUUUUUUAUUAAAGUACAGAUAUAUUAAACGUCUAUCAGAAAUGAUGAAAGAAACAUCUUCACGUCACCAAUUAAUAUAGUUGUUCGAAGAAUAAGAUGUCUAUCUUAAUUAUAAAAAAACCCUUAAUAGGAAAAAUAUGUUUUAAAAUAUCCUUACACAAACAAACAAUUCAUAGGUUGUUGGUACAUGUGGAAAAACAAUAUUAGGGCUUGAUUUUGUGAGAAAUGGGAACCUGAAGAAAGCCUCAAUUUUGACCUAAAAAGGUUAAAAGAGACUAAGGACCAGUGAAGAAAGAAAAUUUCCAGAUGACUUAUGGCAUCGAACAAAAAGGUAAGAGCCAAAGUCCAUAAAACCAUAGUCUAUGGUGGAUACGUACUAUUUGCGUGUUCUUUGUACAAUGUGUACAUCUCAUAAUUUAUAUUUGUUAAUAAAGUAUUUUGUCGAAUUAUUUGUCUGUCAGUAUCGAAAUCAAAUAAAAUUCUGAAUUUUUAUUUCUCUAUACAUAUUACCCCAACAACCCCCACUAUGAGCUUUUCUUCUAUGAGCUUUUUUUCUAAUCAAACCAAUGACAAGGAGCAGGUGUUUCAUUUGAAAGCUCCCCACACCAAAUUUUUAUUAAAAUAUCUCCAAUUUUUCUUGAGCAUGAACCCACCCAUGUAUAUGGGAUGAUAUCCCUCAUCAUGCAUGUACAUUUUCGGUAUGUGACAAAAUAGUUUGGAAAAAGUGAUGUAAUCCGAAUCGGACCGAAUAUUGAAAUCGGAUGAACGAGAAGUUUAAGAGUUUGAGGUUCAAUCAGGGUCAAGCCUUCAAAAAUCUCCUUUGAAGAACUGGUCAUGUUUGUUGUUAUAUGAAAAGUAAAUAUUAGAUGAAUACGUAUAAGAAUUCUAUCUAUAAAAGGAGAAUAUAAAUUAUUAUUGAAUGAUUAGUAUUUAGUUUUUUUAUGAAGACUUUAUUGAAUUUAUUAUGAUUUUAUUUUGAGGUCACAUAUUAUCAUUUAUGGGUCUUGUAGUAUUUUUCAUUCUUCAAUUUACAUAAUUUCAAUUGUCUCACGCUUUCAUUUUACUAAUACAUUUUUCUAUAAUAAAAAAAGUCCAUCUAUCUUCAUUUAUUUUCUAAAAUUUAAAAGUUCUAACUAUUUUCUAAAAUUUGAAAAUUCUAACUAUAAUAAUUUAACAUUCAUAAUUGUCUAUAUAUUGUUCUCAUAUUAGUAUGUCAUACAUUAAAUUUUAUCAUUUCACAUUUGAGCUGAGUCAAUGAAUCACAAAAAUCCCGGCAAGAACGGUUAGAGCGAUUUUAGAGGUUUUUAUGGUUCAAUAAUCGAACCGAAAAGUAAUAUAGUCUCAAUCGAAUCGAAUGCUGAAACUAGAUGAAUGAAAAGUUUAAGAGUUUGAGGUUCAAUCAGGAUCAGCCCUUCAAAAAUCUCCCUUGAAGAACUGGUCAUGUUUGUUGUUAUACGAAAAUUAAAUAUUAGAUAAAUACGCAUAAGAAUCGUAGUAAUUUAACAUUCAUGAUUGUCCAUAUAUCAUUCGUAUUAGCAUGUCAUACAAAGAUUUGUCGUUCCACGUUUGAGUUGAGUCAAUGAACAACAAAAACCAACACAAACAAUUGAAACGAUCCCGAAGAUUGAUCGAACCGGCUGGACCGGUCAGAAUAGAAGUCGAAAAAUGCAUGAGAUUUUGAGCAGCCAUGGAGGAGUUGUGACGUAUGUGUCAAAAAGGUCAAAAGUAAUAAUGACGUUAGUGGCUGCUUCAUGCAAAGUCCACUCCCACCAUUUUUAGCCUCAAACAAAGGUCCAAACUUGGUUGAUUACCAAAGAAAAAAAAUAUCACCAUUGGCACAACGAAAACGACUCAGAAAGAUCUCUGAAAAUGACUCAUACAAAUAAAAUUAACGUGAACCGUUACAUCUCAAUAAUUCAAAUUGUUGGAAAAAGGUUUUGAUUGAUGUUUAUAUCAUUCACUAACACAUACAUCCUUUUAAACGGAAGCUCUAUCUCAUACGAGCUUAUGAAGAAUCGAAAUUCAAAACGAAGACUUAUCGAAUUAUUAGGAUGCAACGGUUCUUCGCAAACUCUCGGUGUUUGCCGGCUUCAAUUUCAAAGAUGGCCAAUAUGCUUCAGUUACGAUAACAAUCCAAGCUAAUGACAGAAUUGAUAAAACCAAUGUCAACAAUUCUGAGCUUGCCGUCGAAAUUACAAUGAAACAACAGACAUUUUAACAAUUAACAAUGGAACAAAUGGCAUGAAUGUUAACAAAAUUGAAAGAUUCAGAUUCAUCCUGAAAAGUUUUAUUUCCGACCAGUUGCGUAAUAAGGAUUUUGGCCAAAUGGGGUCCUCCAUACUGAAAAGAAAAUACUAAACCAAAAAAGUAAAUAUUAAAAAUUCCACCAUUCUUCAUAUUUUAAUUAUUUUCAUCUCUUAUUUGAUCGUUUACGAGUUUUAACUUAAUUCAAGUUGGGUCCAGGGUUCGAAUGUAUAUUGCAAACGAGGUCCCUCAACUUCAACGGCGAGACGAGUGUAGAUCUGGCCAAGGAAGAACAAAAAGGUCAAAAACGAACAAUGUGGAUGGUAUAUAGUUCAAGAAACAAGACAAUGAUACAGUUUCGGAUAUAAUGAGUACCCGUUUCCCACCCCGAACAUAUUUACGAGUACCGGUACUACCCGGGACACCGAAAAUCGAGCUGGGUUCAAAAUCCCCACGUUUGUUUGUUUGUUUGCACGGAAGACCUAGCCUCUCUGAAUGAACACCCCAUGUCACCUAAUACCUGCCUGCUGUUAUUGUAGAAACAGACAAAACCUAACUUUGAACACAAGUAAGGUUUUGUUUGACCCCAUGUUGAAAACGUUUUAUUUUGGUUUCAUAUACGACUUACAAAACUACGUACGUACCAUUUGGAUUGAGCUCAGUGAUGUUUGCUGCAAAGGGGGGGUGGUCGUGGUGGCUGCUGAGUCCAUGCCGACAUCAAAUCGAUUCUUUAAUUCCAUUCGUCUAUUAGCUGCUGAUGGCUUGAUGCUUCCUUCUUAUGCCAACUGGGUGCCAUUUGUUUUCCUGCAUUGAUGACGUUUUCUUCUGCAUCUUAUCUCAAAAGCUUUGUUUGAAACAGCCUCGAGCAUCUUCUGAUCAUUCUAUCUGUAAAAGGAGAAUAUGAAUUAUUAUUGAAUGAAUAGUAUGUGGUUCUCUUAUGAGGGCUUUAUUUUGAGUUUAUUAGGGCUUUAUUUUGAAUUUAUUAAAACUUUAUUUUGAAUUUAUGAUGACCUUAUUUUAAGCUCACAUAUUACUUUUUAUGGGUCGUGUGAUAUUUUCCAUUCUUCAAUAGACAUGACUUAAACUAUCUCACGCUUUCAUUUUGCUUAUACGUUUCCUAUAACAAAAGAAAAGUUUUAUCUAUCUCCAUUUAGUCUUUAAAACUUUCCACAAUAUAAUUCUAAUAUCAUUAAAACAACAAACAUGAAACUGAAAAAUGAAAAGCUCGCGAGCAAAUUUGAAGAUUAGCAUUUCAUCCGGUCAUAUUCACAAAUAGAUAAACCAAUUCUAGUAUGUCUACAACAGCAUACUUGGAAGCCAAGCCUUUUUCGAAAAAAAACUUAUUCGUGACUCGACUCGAUUUUAAAUGAACCAACUUGAAUAUUAGCUCGAGUAUACUUUAACUUAAUAGACUUAAUGAUGUGUACGUGCUAAUGAGGAACAUUGUUUAGGUUAGUAAUAACUUGUAAAAUUUAGGACAGCUUUGUUUUUUAGCUUGUCUCGUCAACAUUUUCUAGUGGUACAAGCUUCAAAUGGAGCUCAAAUUGGGUUCAUGAGGGGGUUUCAAUGACCGAAAUUCGAAUUGAACUCAAGUUUGGCUCGUCAAGCCUAAUUGACGAGCUAGGCUCGAGUUCGACUCAGCUCAAUCAAGCCACAAUUUCAGACGGUAACUGGAAAGCGGAAUUUUAACAAUUAGAAAACAUCUUACCACAAUUGCCACCAUAGUUGAGCUCGGCCUUACCUCAAUCCGGAAACUGAUGUUCGAAACUUAGGUGCCUCCUGUACAAAUGUACAUGAUUCAAGCUCUAAACUUGAUCCUCAAAUGGCACCAACUCUUCCAACAGAGGAAAUCCCAAUUGCACAGAUCCCAAUAUACUCCACUAGGUGUUACACGCCUGUGAUCAUAAACCAGUACACAGGUGUUCCCUAACGAAUCUGGAUUUGGUAAGUAGUUAUACUUAGCUACCAGUAGUUGCCGCAAGAGCACGAACCAUCUUUGAAGCAAUGGAAACGAUUAGCAUCCCUUAACACAAUCUCUCGCCCCGUAACUUUUGCAAUCAACUUAAUCGCAGCAUGGCAAUCGCCACAAACCCUGAGAUUCUUCAUGAUCCUAAGAGUUGUACCUUUCGGCGCCUUCAGGAUUCCAUACGCCACAGCCAAUUUCUCGCUGUGAUACCGUAAGCUAUGAACCUUCUCCUCUUCCUCAACAUCAUGCAGCACAAAGCUACCGUCAGCACAAUAUCCAGCCUCUCUUAUAAGCCUAUCCAACUCCUCCAACUUCGCCAAAAUAGCGUCAUGGUCAGGAUGAGAAUUUAUGCAAUCUCUAUCUCCUCCAGUGAACAUAUGCACUUCUUUCUCCACCUGGAUCCAACUACAACCCGGCGAUUUAUACAGUGUCUGUAAUCUCAUGUUAUUCCUCAACGAUGCAACGUCCUUCCAUUUACCUUGCGAUGAAUAAAUAUUCGAGAGUAAGAUGUAAUGUCCGGAAUUCUCUGGUUCCAGCAGUAGAAGCUUCUUUGCUGCAACUUCAGCCAUAUCCAGUCUAUUAUGAAUUCUGCAAGCUCCUAGUAAAGCACCCCAAACAACAGCAUCGGGUUCCACCGACAUGUUUCGAAUUAAGUCCAUCGCCUCUGUCAGCUUUCCUGCCCGACCUAGUAGAUCAACCACGCAAGAAUAGUGUUCGGUUUUGGGAACCACUAGAUGUUUCGAUUUCAUCGACUCGAAUAGUUCAAGCCCUUCUUUCACCCUUCCUGUGUAGCUACAUGCUGAGAGAACACCAAUGAAGGUAACUUCAUCAGGAGCUACUUUUGACCUUACCAUAUCAUAGAACACCUGUAAAGCUUCUUUCCCAAGUCCAUGCUGUGCGUAACCAGUUAUAAUAGAGUUCCACAUAACAGCAUCCUUGGAUUUAAACCGGUCAAAAACUCGUUUGCCAUGAGCAAGAUCGCCGCACUUUAUAUACAUCGUGAUCAGAACUGAGCAUACGUACACAUCAAAGUCGAACAAAGAUCGAAUCAACUUCGCAUGGACCUCUCGACCGUGAUCUAGAAUUGCCAGACUACCGCAAACAGAGAGAACGCUAAUUAUCGAUGGAAAAUUCGCUCUCAUUCCUCCUCUUAGUUGCAUUAACCUAAACAGACGGAGUGCUUCCAAUUCGAAUCCUUGCCUCUCGUAAACCUUGAUCAUUGAACUCCAUGACGCAUCAUCCUUCUCCUUCAUUUGAUCGAAUACCUCCCUCGCUUUAGCCAAAUCACCGUCCCGUCCAAAUCCCAUAAUCAUUUCGUUACAAGCAGGAACCGACCGGUCUGGCAUCGAAUCAAAAAGCUCCGCAGCUUCGUUAAUCCGUCCGGCCCUCGUAUAUCCCAUCAGCAUUGCUGUCCAAGUCACCUCAUUUUUACCCGGCAUUACUUCAAACAACUUCCUAGCUACAUCAACUCUAUUAUGCAUAGCGUACCCAUUAAUCAUAGUUGUCCAAGCAAUCACAUUUCUUUCAGGCAUUUCAUCGAACAUCUCCCGUGCAUCCUUUAAUCUUCCUUCAGCACACAACCCUCCCAUCAUAUUAGUUCUAGCAACUACAUCCUUAACCGGCAUUGCGUCGUACAUCUUCGCAGCCUCAUCAACACGUCCAUCCUCAAUCAAGCCACCGAUCAUAACCGUCCACGAGACGACAUUCUUAUCAGGCAUUGCGGCAAACAAAGCUUCUGCUUCCUUAAUCAUGCCCUCUUGCACAUAACCCCUGAGCAUAGCAGUCCAAGAAAUCACAUUUCUUUCAGGCAUUCUAUCAAAGGCCUUCCUAGCCUCUAGAAUCAUCCCAUUCUUAAUAUAGCCUGAAAUCAAGCCGUUCCAAGAGACUAUGUUUCUGUCAGGCAUUUGAUCGAAUAGCUGGCGGGCUUCCUUGGGUUGGUUGUUGUGGAAGUAACCAGCCACGAUUGCAUUCCAUGACACGACGGUCUUGUUGCGGAGCUGAUCGAAGACCUGCCGGGCUCUUUCCAUUUGAGAUGUACGGGCGAAAUGGGAUAUCUGGGAAUUCGAAUUUACCGGAGGAGUGAGAGCUGCAGUAUAAUGUCUACGAAGUAUGAAGCGAACCCACAUUUUUUAAAACUGAAAAAGAUUGAUCACCAAGAGAGAACGGAGUCGAAUAAACUGAAUCUUAGUCGAUACUAAUCAACGGAAGGGUACUGUCUCCUCUUCACCGGAGUGGGUAGAGCUCGUCAUCCUCGUCGUCGGCGGGAGAGAAAGCCGAGUUGGGAAAAAAUACGUAAAAAGCAGAGAAAAAGGAAGUAAGCCAGAGACCCCGUCAAUGCAUUCGUGCACGUGGCAUGCGCGUAAGAGCGUGUGUGCACGGGCGCGUGAGAAGUCCCACUCGCAAAUUGCGUUUAUUGAACACGCACGCGUGCAUUUCACGCGUAAAACUUUCCGGGUCGGAGGUUUUUGGCUGGGACGGGUUAAAGGCCUUACAGGGCACAGGCCGAAUGACUGGGGACAUGGCCGGCCUGCUCCAAAAUUCAUGGGCCAAAUACAACUCGGGUCGGCCCAAAAUCGAACUGGCCACAAAACCUGGUCGAAGCUCACCCUCCCCACAAAGACGUCAGAAAAAUGCAAGAUGGACCCGGAUAAGGCCUAGGCCCAAUCGGCGGCAGCGUGGCUUUCCUGUCCACCAAUAUUCGCAGGCCUAAUCUGCUUCUUGCCCGCCUAAAUUUCGGAUCCUCGUUUUGAACCCGGUCCAAAGAUCACCUCAGUCCUCAGGAAAACAUCAAAACGCUGCCGUUUCACUGCCAAUUUCACGGCGGCUGUCGCACCUUUUCUCUGUCAGAUGCGUACACCCACCUGCCACCGUCGCCAUCCGACGAGAUGACUCCAAACUCGCAACCUGCCGGCACACAGUAUGCCCACGACGAGGAUUAUUAUACCCGUUUGUCAGCCUUCCCAAAAUUCGGCGAUCUCCUUCCCAAAAUCGCAAAAGUAAAUCCGCAGCAUUACCACCGCCGUUGACGCAGAGCGUCGGACACCACCGCCGGCGAUCUCCUCCUUCAAAUCUCCAUUGAAUUCCGCUAAUUAGCCUUCAAAAUUCAGAAAGCUUGAAGCUUUUCUGAUGGGUUGUUUAAAACAAGAGGGAUUUCAAGAAUAGAAUUAGCGGGCAUACCAUUGUUAAGCUCUCAGUCGUUGAAGAGACAGAUUUUUUCGAAACGAUGAAAUCGGUUCGGUAAAACGCAAAUCGGAACAACAGUUUCCUCUCUAAUACUCUCGAUCCGGACACCACUUUUAAGAUGUAGCUAACUACAAAGCGUCACGUGACAAGAGUACCGUAUUCUUGUAAUUAGUAAACGCGACAUAAUUCUUCGAUCAAAUAGUCUUCAAUUGCUACAUGAUUGAUACACAAAAGGAAACAUCACACAAGCCAAAAUGAAAGACAAAAAAAAAGUGUGAUUCCAAAAUCAGUUGGCAUAGAGAUGAAGUGGAAGCCUAGGUUGAGCAACGGCAACAAGUGGGAACUUCUUAGGAGUAGAGAGUCCAUAAAUCUCCUCCAUAUUCAAAUCCUCUUUCUUCAUCCCACUAGGCAAUCCCCACUUGAACCCAUGCACAAGAUUAGCCAAGCUAGCUUGAAUCACCUUAAUCCCCAACGGAUAUCCGGGACACAUCCUCCUUCCAGCACCGAACGGUAACAGCUCAUAGUCAUGACCCUUCACAUCAAUCUCCUUUCCUAUAAACCUCUCCGGCUUAAACUCCUCGGGAUCAUCCCAAAUCGUUGGAUCCCUCCCUAUGGUCCACGUGUUAACCAAUAUUCUUGUCCCCUUAGCCACCCGGUAGCCUGCUAUGUCGACAUCCUCGCGGGCCAACCUCGGAACCAACAACGGCGCUACAGGGUGUAGCCUCAUUGUCUCUUUUACGAUCGCGUUGAUGUAAGGCAGAUUCGCCACGUCUUUCUCUUCGACCCAACGCUCUUUCCCCACUACUCUGUCUAACUCCUCGGUUGCUUUGUCAAAUAUCUCCGGCCUCUUUAACAGUUCUGAUAUCCCCCAUUCUACCGUCACCGCCGAACUCUCUGUACCACCGGCAAUCAUGUCCUAUGUCACCAAUUUGCAUAUAGUGUUACCAAACAUUUAAUCAUAAUCAUAGAAAACACGGAAUGAUUUCAUUGCACCAUGCCCCAUACGCUUCAAAGACUAAACUAUCCUUUUAAAUUAAAAUUUUUACUUAGAUAUACCUGAGUAAAUGCCUUAACUCCCCGGCGAUCAAGCUUGACUUCCAAAUCGGGAUCGGCGGCGAGCUCCAACAAAACAUCCACCAUAUCCUUCGCCACAAAAUCCUUCUCCCCCCUCCUCGAAUUAUGCUCAUCCAAAACCCUCUCGAGAAACCCAUCGAAUUUCUUCGCCACAGCCUUCAUCCUCUUUAUAUACCCUUGCAGAUCCAGACCCGCCAGCCACGGGAUCGAAUCUCCGAUAUCCAAAACGCCGUUCAGCAAGAAAAGCUCGUCGAGCAUCUCCUUAAACUCCACCGGCGUCACAAUUUCAUUCUCUCCGUUGCCGGAAUUGGUGUACUUCUUGCCCAGAACCAUCCGGCUGAUUACAUUGAGGCUCAGAUCGGACAAAUGGUCUUUCAAAUUAAUCGGGUUUCCGCACGACCCGAAAAGGUUGUUGACGACCCAUUUCAUCUCCUCCCGCCGGAUGUAUUCAUACGACCCGACCCGUUUGGCGCUGAAGAGCUCGGUUAAGCACAUCUUCCUCGCCUGCCGCCAGUAAGGGCCGUACUGGGACCAGGUGAUGUCGGAGUAUUCGUAGGUGGUGUACUUUCCGGCGGCAAUCUCCGGGCGGCCGGCGAAGGCGAGGUCGUGGGUCUUGAGGAUGGAUUUGGCCAUGUCGACGGAGGAUCCGACGACGACCGGGUGGGACCCGAAUCGGAGCUGCAUGAUGGGCCCGUAUUUGACGGAGAGGGAGUGGAGGGAGCGGUGGGGUAGUGGGCCUAUUAAGUUGAGGUUGCCGAUAAUGGGCCAGGGUGUUGGGCCGGGUGGCUGGUUGGGGUUACGACGGUGGCGGAGCCAACCGGCAAGGAGGAUGACGGCGACGGUGAUUGCCCAUGCGGUGGCUAGAGUGGUGGUGCUUGAGGGAGUGAUGGGAUUCAUCUUCAACGUUGGGGAUUUUAGGUUUGAUGGGUUGUUGGGAAAAAGUGGAGGGUGAUGGGUAAUAUUUAUAGAAGAAAUUGUUUGGAAAUAAUGUGACUGUUUGAGUGUUGAUUAAUCGGUGGGGUUCGGAAUGGAUCGGGAUAGCGUUGUUGACCAACUAAGCAGUUUUUUUUAA
RNAcentral lists this long non-coding RNA (33764 nucleotides) under Linum usitatissimum (flax). RNAcentral's name for it is "long non-coding RNA (LUSI_LNC005598)". Lineage: Eukaryota; Viridiplantae; Streptophyta; Magnoliopsida; Malpighiales; Linaceae. The record is from RNAcentral.